AAUCCAUAGGUUAAUGAGGCGAACCGGGGGAACUGAAACAUCUAAGUACCCCGAGGAAAAGAAAUCAACCGAGAUUCCCCCAGUAGCGGCGAGCGAACGGGGAGGAGCCCAGAGCCUGAAUCAGCAUGUGUGUUAGUGGAAGCGUCUGGAAAGGCGCGCGAUACAGGGUGACAGCCCCGUACACAAAAGCGCAUGUGCUGUGAGCUCGAUGAGUAGGGCGGGACACGUGGUAUCCUGUCUGAAUAUGGGGGGACCAUCCUCCAAGGCUAAAUACUCCUGACUGACCGAUAGUGAACCAGUACCGUGAGGGAAAGGCGAAAAGAACCCCGGCGAGGGGAGUGAAAAAGAACCUGAAACCGUGUACGUACAAGCAGUGGGAGCACCCUUUGGGUGUGACUGCGUACCUUUUGUAUAAUGGGUCAGCGACUUAUAUUCUGUAGCAAGGUUAACCGAAUAGGGGAGCCGGAGGGAAACCGAGUCUUAAUUGGGCGUUAAGUUGCAGGGUAUAGACCCGAAACCCGGUGAUCUAGCCAUGGGCAGGUUGAAGGUUGGGUAACACUAACUGGAGGACCGAACCGACUAAUGUUGAAAAAUUAGCGGAUGACCUGUGGCUGGGGGUGAAAGGCCAAUCAAACCGGGAGAUAGCUGGUUCUCCCCGAAAGCUAUUUAGGUAGCGCCUCGUGAAUUCAUCUCCGGGGGUAGA
RNAcentral lists this ribosomal RNA (703 nucleotides) under Salmonella enterica subsp. enterica serovar Enteritidis. RNAcentral's name for it is "partial 23S ribosomal RNA". It matches the Rfam family "Bacterial large subunit ribosomal RNA", at positions 161 to 906 of the family's 2925-position model. Lineage: Bacteria; Pseudomonadati; Pseudomonadota; Gammaproteobacteria; Enterobacterales; Enterobacteriaceae. The record is from RNAcentral.